GUAUGUGUAUGCCAGUGUAUGUGUGUGCCAGUGUAUGUGUGUAUGAAUGCCAGUGUGUGUAUGCCAGUGUAUGUGUGUGUGUGUAUGCUGGUGUAUGAAUGCCAGUGUAUGUGUGUGUAUGCCAGUGUCUGAAUGCCAGUGUGUGUCUGAAUGCCAGUGUAUGAAUGCCAGUGUGUGUAUGCCAGUGUAUGUGUGUGUGUAUGCUGGUGUAUGAAUGCCAGUGUAUGUGUGUGUAUGCCAGUGUAUGAAUGCCAGUGUGUGUAUGCCAUUGUGUAUGCCAGUGUAUGUGUGUGCCAGUGUAUG
This is a non-coding RNA of Pelobates cultripes (western spadefoot toad), 303 nucleotides long. The record is from the annotation of a GenBank genome assembly. Lineage: Eukaryota; Metazoa; Chordata; Amphibia; Anura; Pelobatidae.